CCAGACUCCUACGGGAGGCAGCAGUGGGGAAUAUUGCACAAUGGGGGAAACCCUGAUGCAGCGACGCCGCGUGAGCGAUGAAGUAUUUCGGUAUGUAAAGCUCUAUCAGCAGGGAAGAAAAUGACGGUACCUGACUAAGAAGCCCCGGCUAACUACGUGCCAGCAGCCGCGGUAAUACGUAGGGGGCAAGCGUUAUCCGGAUUUACUGGGUGUAAAGGGAGCGUAGACGGCCAGACAAGUCUGAAGUGAAAAUCCAGCGCUUAACGUUGGAAGUGCUUUGGAAACUGCCGGGCUAGAGUGCAGGAGGGGCAGGCGGAAUUCCUAGUGUAGCGGUGAAAUGCGUAGAUAUUAGGAGGAACACCAGUGGCGAAGGCGGCCUGCUGGGCUUUUACUGACGCUGAGGCUCGAAAGUGUGGGGAGCAAACAGGAUUAGAUACCCCCGUACCC
Molecule: ribosomal RNA, 447 nt
Filed under: uncultured bacterium
Lineage: Bacteria
Description: bacterial SSU rRNA
Rfam family: Bacterial small subunit ribosomal RNA
Source: RNAcentral